GAAAUUACAGAAAAAGAUAACCACACCAUGAUCACGAAGGUGGUUUUCCCAGGGCGAGGCUUAUCCAUUGCACUCCGGAUGUGCUGACCCCUGUGAUUUCCCCAAAUGUGGGAAACUUGACUGUAUAAUUUGUGGUAGUGAGGGACUGCGUUCACGCUUUCCCCCU
This 166-nucleotide small nuclear RNA is filed under the name Aotus nancymaae (Ma's night monkey). Its description in RNAcentral is "U1 spliceosomal RNA (ENSANAG00000008999.1)". It matches the Rfam family "U1 spliceosomal RNA". Rfam says of the family: U1 is a small nuclear RNA (snRNA) component of the spliceosome (involved in pre-mRNA splicing). Its 5' end forms complementary base pairs with the 5' splice junction, thus defining the 5' donor site of an intron. Lineage: Eukaryota; Metazoa; Chordata; Mammalia; Primates; Aotidae. The record is from Rfam by way of RNAcentral.